RNAcentral lists this ribosomal RNA (253 nucleotides) under uncultured bacterium. Its description in RNAcentral is "partial 16S ribosomal RNA". It matches the Rfam family "Bacterial small subunit ribosomal RNA", at positions 524 to 776 of the family's 1533-position model. The record is from RNAcentral.
UACGAAGGGGGCUAGCGUUGCUCGGAAUCACUGGGCAUAAAGGGCGCGUAGGCGGCUUUUCAAGUCAGGGGUGAAAUCCGGCAGCUCAACUGUCGAAGUGCCCUUGAUACUGAUGAGCUCGAGGGAGGUAGGGGUGUGUGGAACUUCCGGUGGAGCGGUGAAAUGCGUUGAUAUCGGAAGGAACGCCGGUGGCGAAAGCGGCGCACUGGACCGCUACUGACGCUGAGGCGCGAAAGCUAGGGGAGCAAACGGG